This 204-nucleotide long non-coding RNA is filed under the name Marmota monax (woodchuck). Lineage: Eukaryota; Metazoa; Chordata; Mammalia; Rodentia; Sciuridae. The record is from RNAcentral.
AGCCUGUCCUGUGUAAGAAAUACGGAGAAAAGAGGUUUAUAGAUACUUCCAUAUCUGAGAUGGGCUUUACUGCAAUUGCUGUCAGUGCAGCUAUAUUGGGUUGUGGCCCAUUUGUGAAUUUAUGACCUUCAAUUCCUCCAUGCAAGCUAUUGACUAGGUUAUAAACUCAGCAUCCAAGACCUACUAUAUGUCUGGGAGACUCCA